CCUACGGGGGGCUGCAGUGGGGAAUAUUGCACAAUGGGGGAAACCCUGAUGCAGCGACGCCGCGUGAGUGAAGAAGUAAUUCGUUAUGUAAAGCUCUAUCAGCAGGGAAGAAAAUGACGGUACCUGAGUAAGAAGCCCCGGCUAACUACUUUCCAUCAUCCUCUUUAAUACGUAUUUUUCAAUCGUUAUCCGGAUUUACUGGGUGUAAAGGGAGCGUAGACGGCAGUGCAAGUCUGGAGUGAAAGGCGGGGGCUCAACCCCCGGACUGCUCUGGAAACUGUACGGCUGGAGUGCAGGAGAGGGAAGUGGAAUUCCUAGUGUAGCGGUGAAAUGCGUAGAUAUUAGGAGGAACACAAGUGGCGAAGGAGGCUUACUGGACUGUAACUGACGUUGAGGCUCGAAAGCGUGGGGAGCAAACAGGAUUAGAUACCCCGGUAGGC
RNAcentral lists this ribosomal RNA (440 nucleotides) under uncultured bacterium. RNAcentral describes it as "partial 16S ribosomal RNA". It matches the Rfam family "Bacterial small subunit ribosomal RNA", at positions 338 to 795 of the family's 1533-position model. The record is from RNAcentral.